CGAAUGGCUCAUUAAAUCAGUUA
This 23-nucleotide non-coding RNA is filed under the name Arabidopsis thaliana (thale cress). RNAcentral also lists the same sequence under 1 other name. Lineage: Eukaryota; Viridiplantae; Streptophyta; Magnoliopsida; Brassicales; Brassicaceae. The record is from RNAcentral.